GUUGAACGCUGGCGGCAUGCCUAACACAUGCAAGUCGAGCGGAUGAAGGUAGCCUUCUCCUGGAUUCAGUGGCCGACGGUCGAGUAAGUCCUAGGAGUCUGCCUUGUAGUGGGGUAUAGCGUCAGGAUACGGGCUCUGAUCUCACACACGUCCUGUGGGAGAACGUGAGGGCUCUUCGGAUCUCACGCUCUUAGCUGCGCCUUGGUGGUAUUCGCUAGUUGGUGGGGUAAAGGCCUACCAAGGCGACUAUCCGUAACUGGUCUGAGAGGAUGAUCAGUCACACUGGAAAUGGGAAACGGUCAAGAUCCCUAAGGGAGGCAGAAGUGGGGAAUAUUGGAAAAUGGGGGAAAGCCUGAUCCAGCCCUGCCGGGGGUGUGUAGAAGGUCUUCGGAUUGUAAAGGACUUUAAGUUGGGAGGAAAGGCAGUAAAUUAAUACCUUGCUGUUUGGACGUUACCAACAGAAUAAGCACCGGCUAACUUCGU
Molecule: ribosomal RNA, 483 nt
Filed under: uncultured bacterium
Lineage: Bacteria
Description: partial 16S ribosomal RNA
Rfam family: Bacterial small subunit ribosomal RNA
Source: RNAcentral